RNAcentral lists this ribosomal RNA (1467 nucleotides) under Intestinimonas butyriciproducens. Its description in RNAcentral is "bacterial SSU rRNA". It matches the Rfam family "Bacterial small subunit ribosomal RNA". Lineage: Bacteria; Bacillati; Bacillota; Clostridia; Eubacteriales. The record is from RNAcentral.
UUUUAUUGAGAGUUUGAUCCUGGCUCAGGAUGAACGCUGGCGGCGUGCUUAACACAUGCAAGUCGAACGGAGCACCCCUGACGGAGUUUUCGGACAACGAAAGGGAAUGCUUAGUGGCGGACGGGUGAGUAACGCGUGAGUAACCUGCCUUGGAGUGGGGAAUAACAGCCGGAAACGGCUGCUAAUACCGCAUGAUGUAUCUGGAUCGCAUGGUUCUGGAUACCAAAGAUUUAUUGCUCUGAGAUGGACUCGCGUCUGAUUAGCUAGUUGGUGAGGUAACGGCUCACCAAGGCGACGAUCAGUAGCCGGACUGAGAGGUUGGCCGGCCACAUUGGGACUGAGACACGGCCCAGACUCCUACGGGAGGCAGCAGUGGGGAAUAUUGGGCAAUGGGCGAAAGCCUGACCCAGCAACGCCGCGUGAAGGAAGAAGGCCCUCGGGUUGUAAACUUCUUUUGUCAGGGACGAAGCAAGUGACGGUACCUGACGAAUAAGCCACGGCUAACUACGUGCCAGCAGCCGCGGUAAUACGUAGGUGGCAAGCGUUAUCCGGAUUUACUGGGUGUAAAGGGCGUGUAGGCGGGAGUGCAAGUCAGAUGUGAAAACUAUGGGCUCAACCCAUAGCCUGCAUUUGAAACUGUACUUCUUGAGUGAUGGAGAGGCAGGCGGAAUUCCCUGUGUAGCGGUGAAAUGCGUAGAUAUAGGGAGGAACACCAGUGGCGAAGGCGGCCUGCUGGACAUUAACUGACGCUGAGGCGCGAAAGCGUGGGGAGCAAACAGGAUUAGAUACCCUGGUAGUCCACGCCGUAAACGAUGGAUACUAGGUGUGGGGGGUCUGACCCCCUCCGUGCCGCAGUUAACACAAUAAGUAUCCCACCUGGGGAGUACGAUCGCAAGGUUGAAACUCAAAGGAAUUGACGGGGGCCCGCACAAGCGGUGGAGUAUGUGGUUUAAUUCGAAGCAACGCGAAGAACCUUACCAGGACUUGACAUCCUACUAACGAAGCAGAGAUGCAUAAGGUGCCCUUCGGGGAAAGUAGAGACAGGUGGUGCAUGGUUGUCGUCAGCUCGUGUCGUGAGAUGUUGGGUUAAGUCCCGCAACGAGCGCAACCCUUAUUGUUAGUUGCUACGCAAGAGCACUCUAGCGAGACUGCCGUUGACAAAACGGAGGAAGGUGGGGACGACGUCAAAUCAUCAUGCCCCUUAUGUCCUGGGCCACACACGUACUACAAUGGCGGUCAACAGAGGGAAGCAAAGCCGCGAGGUGGAGCAAAUCCCUAAAAGCCGUCCCAGUUCGGAUUGCAGGCUGAAACUCGCCUGUAUGAAGUCGGAAUCGCUAGUAAUCGCGGAUCAGCAUGCCGCGGUGAAUACGUUCCCGGGCCUUGUACACACCGCCCGUCACACCAUGAGAGUCGGGAACACCCGAAGUCCGUAGCCUAACAGCAAUGGGGGCGCGGCCGAAGGUGGGU